GAUGAAGGGAGGAGCUAGGCCAAGGAGAAUGGGUUUCUAACACUUGAAUAGAGGAGCUUUUCUGCCCUGACGAAUGGGUUAGGGGUCCCCGGAGGCGUCGGUUCCUUAACUUUCAGCCACCUUCCCACUCCUCAUCUGUCUCAGGAACCUGUUUUGGGUUCUCUGUCCUGGAAGACUGCUCAUGCUCACUUAUGUAACAUUGCCACCAUGAAGCCUCAGUGUCAUCAGCAGGCGUGUCCACGGCCCAGGAGGCAAACCCAGACCUUCACCAACACUCCAGCAGGUGUCUGCUUAUGCAGUCGUGUCUAGGGCUGUCCGCAGGGGUGUCAUUGAAGUCCUUCAAUAUGAGGCUGAAAGCAACUGUAACGAUAACAAAUCUAACAAAUGACACAGGUUAUUGAAAACACCCAACAUUCCAAUGGUGCUUUGGGCGGCAGUACCAGUGAGGUUGGAGACGAGAACUGAUUGGAAAUCGUUCCCCUCUGACGAGGAUCACAUUAAGUGUUAUAGAUGGUAAGCAGCAGCAGGAUUGGAACAUUUGACUUUUGGAGUGUACAUUUUGCAUCAACCUCGCCUGUGACAGCGGCCACGUCAGAUUAAAGGCUUUACUGUAUCAUUAAAAUAGUGCCAUCUAGUGGUGGAUAUUUCAAACUGUAGCUAGGUGUCCUAAGGGUUGUCACAAACUCUCAAGGGGUCUGUACCCAUGUAUAUGUGUAUGUGUAUAUACACACAUAUGUGAUAUGUAUGUGUAUAUAUAAUUAUAACUUAUGACAGGAAUAUUUACUUAUGUAUCUAUUCCAUCACCAAAUUUAUUUGCCAAUUAUUCCAGAAUGGGCCUCUUGAUGGGGGUUGUAUUCAAGGAGUAAGGAAGGCUGCUCUGAUCUCCAGGGGUUUCUAGUCUAGAUCUUUGAAAUCCAGAGUUAAUGGCUCUGACACAAGAACAUGGGGGCAUCCAGGAGACUCCAGUGUCCAAAGCUUUAGUGGCAUUGUUGGAAGUCCUACCUACAUAUAAAGACGCACCAUGCUUGGAAGCAUGGAAGUCAGGAAGAGGCCACAGAGAUGUGCCAUCUACUUGAGCUAGCAUAGGAUUCCUGGACUUCUAAGAUCUCCUUUGGGGUCUCCGAGUGUCUCUGGCCCUGGGUCUAAGUCAGGAACCAGCAUGAGCUUAGGUUCACUAUGGAGUUCUCUUUCUUUCGUGGAGUUGCCUGCUGGCCCUUCUAGGAUGCAGCUAGCCGAACAUGAUGGUGUGUUGAAAGCCUUGAAUGUUUCUCAGAAAAACAACAGUAAAUUUUAUGUUCCUU
RNAcentral lists this long non-coding RNA (1301 nucleotides) under Mus caroli (Ryukyu mouse). RNAcentral's name for it is "lncRNA (MGP_CAROLIEiJ_G0006125.1)". Lineage: Eukaryota; Metazoa; Chordata; Mammalia; Rodentia; Muridae. The record is from RNAcentral.